AGUGAACGCUGGCGGUAGGCCUAACACAUGCAAGUCGAACGGCAGCACAGUAAGAGCUUGCUCUUACGGGUGGCGAGUGGCGGACGGGUGAGGAAUACAUCGGAAUCUACUUUUUCGUGGGUGAUAACGUAGGGAAACUUACGCUAAUUCCUCAUACGACCUACGGGUCAACGCAGGGGAUCUUCGCACCUUGCGCUUUUCAAUGAGCCGAUGUCUGAUUAGCUAGUUGGCGGGGUAAUGCCCCACCAAGUCUACGAUCCGUAGCUGUUCUGAGAGGAUGAACAGCCACACUGGAACUGAGACACGGUCCAGACUCCUACGGGAGGCAGCAGUGGGGAAUAUUGGACAAUGGGCGAAAGACUGAUCCAGCCAUACCGCGUGGGUGAAGAAGGCCUUCGGGUUGUAAAGCCCUUUUGUUGGGAAAGAAAAGAAGCAGGUUAAUAACCCGAUGAUCUGACGGUACCCAAAGAAUAAGCACCGGCUAACUUCGUG
RNAcentral lists this ribosomal RNA (492 nucleotides) under uncultured bacterium. RNAcentral's name for it is "partial 16S ribosomal RNA". It matches the Rfam family "Bacterial small subunit ribosomal RNA", at positions 29 to 507 of the family's 1533-position model. The record is from RNAcentral.